AGAGUUUGAUCAUGGCUCAGGACGAACGCUGGCGGCACGCUUAACACAUGCAAGUCGAACGAGAGAAGAGGAGCUUGCUUUUCUGAUCUAGUGGCGGACGGGUGAGUAACACGUGAGCAAUCUGCCUUUCAGAGGGGGAUACCGAUUGGAAACGAUCGUUAAUACCGCAUAACAUAAUUGAACCGCAUGAUUUGAUUAUCAAAGAUUUAUCGCUGAAAGAUGAGCUCGCGUCUGAUUAGCUAGUUGGUAAGGUAACGGCUUACCAAGGCGACGAUCAGUAGCCGGACUGAGAGGUUGAUCGGCCACAUUGGGACUGAGACACGGCCCAGACUCCUACGGGAGGCAGCAGUGGGGAAUAUUGCACAAUGGAGGAAACUCUGAUGCAGCGAUGCCGCGUGAGGGAAGAAGGUUUUAGGAUUGUAAACCUCUGUCUUCAGGGACGAAAAAAGACGGUACCUGAGGAGGAAGCUCCGGCUAACUACGUGCCAGCAGCCGCGGUAAUACGUAGGGAGCGAGCGUUGUCCGGAAUUACUGGGUGUAAAGGGAGCGUAGGCGGGAUCGCAAGUCAGAUGUGAAAACUAUGGGCUUAACCCAUAAACUGCAUUUGAAACUGUGGUUCUUGAGUGAAGUAGAGGUAAGCGGAAUUCCUAGUGUAGCGGUUAAAUGCGUAGAUAUUAGGAGGAACAUCAGUGGCGAAGGCGGCUUACUGGGCUUUAACUGACGCUGAGGCUCGAAAGCGUGGGGAGCAAACAGGAUUAGAUACCCUGGUAGUCCACGCCGUAAACGAUGAUUACUAGGUGUGGGGGGACUGACCCCUUCCGUGCCGCAGCAAACGCAAUAAGUAAUCCACCUGGGGAGUACGACCGCAAGGUUGAAACUCAAAGGAAUUGACGGGGGCCCGCACAAGCAGUGGAGUAUGUGGAUUAAUUCGAAGCAACGCGAAGAACCUUACCAGGUCUUGACAUCGUAUGCAUAGCUCAGAGAUGAGUGAAAUCUCUUCGGAGACAUAUAGACAGGUGGUGCAUGGUUGUCGUCAGCUCGUGUCGUGAGAUGUUGGGUUAAGUCCCGCAACGAGCGCAACCCUUACUGUUAGUUGCUACGCAAGAGCACUCUAGCAGGACUGCCGUUGACAAAACGGAGGAAGGUGGGGAUGACGUCAAAUCAUCAUGCCCCUUAUGACCUGGGCCUCACACGUACUACAAUGGCUGUCAACAGAGGGAAGCAAAGCCGCGAGGUGGAGCGAACCCCUAAAAGCAGUCUUAGUUCGGAUUGUAGGCUGCAACCCGCCUACAUGAAGUCGGAAUUGCUAGUAAUCGCAGAUCAGCAUGCUGCGGUGAAUACGUUCCCGGGCCUUGUACACACCGCCCGUCACGCCAUGGGAGUCGGUAACACCCGAAGCCUGUAGUCUAACCGCAAGGAGGACGCAGUCGAAGGUGGGAUUGAUGACUGGGGUGAAGUCGUAACAAGGUA
Molecule: ribosomal RNA, 1470 nt
Filed under: metagenome
Description: bacterial SSU rRNA
Rfam family: Bacterial small subunit ribosomal RNA
Source: RNAcentral